RNAcentral lists this ribosomal RNA (978 nucleotides) under Raillietina sp. HL-2022. RNAcentral describes it as "16S ribosomal RNA". The stretch from base 652 to 936 matches the Rfam family "Bacterial large subunit ribosomal RNA", at positions 2073 to 2647 of the family's 2925-position model. Lineage: Eukaryota; Metazoa; Platyhelminthes; Cestoda; Cyclophyllidea; Davaineidae. The record is from RNAcentral.
ACUAUAAACUUAGAGGUUUGUUAAAUUAGUUUUUAGGUUUAUUUGCCUUUUGCAUCAUGCUUAAUAGAUUUUUUUAAAUUAUUUUUUAGACCGAAGAAUUUGGAUCUCAAUAUAGGUUGUUUAGAACUUAUUUUCGCUGAGUUAGUUGUGAAGAUAAAUUUAUUUUGUGGUGUGAAAUAUUAAUCGUCAAAUUUUAUAUCUGUUUUAUCAUUGAUUAUUUUUUUUAACAUGUUAAGUUCAAGAUUUAGUAUGUGUUUAUACUUUUUAUUAUUUUGGUUGACGAAGAGGUUAAGAGUACUUAUUUGUUGUAAAAUUGUUAAAAAUUCUGUUACAUGGGGGUAUAAGUUAAUUUAUGGUAUGUGAUAUAUUGAUUAAUUUUUAGUAAGAAGAGAUUAUUAUAUAAGUAAUAUUAAUAUGAUGAUUAAUUCUCGAAGAUUAUCCAUCUGUUUAUUAAAAACAUUUCCAAUUGAUAUUGUAAUUGGUAGUGCCUGCCCAGUGUUUUAAUAAAUGGCCGCAGUAUUUUGACUGUGCGAAGGUAGCAUAAUUAAUUGUCUUGUAAUUGAGGACUUGUUUGAAUGGCUUGAUGAGAUAAGUUUUUAUAUUCGUCAUAUAGUUGAAAUUAGUGGUGUGGGUGCAGAAUCUACACAUAAUUAAUAAGACGGAAAGACCCCGGGAGCUUUUAUGUUUAUUUGGGGUAAGAUUAAAUAUUUUAUUUGGAUUUAGACCCUAAAGUUAUUGGUUUAAUGAUUUAAGUUGCCCCGGGGAUAACAGGGUAAUAGUUAAUAAGAGAUCAUAUCGAGUUAAUUGUUUGCCACCUCGAUGUUGACUUAGGUGAGUAUUAUGGCGCAGCUGUUUGUGUAUUAGGUCUGUUCGACCAUAGUGGCCUUCAUGAGUUGAGUUUAGACCGGUGUGAAUCAGGUCGGAUCUUAUCUGUUAUUCAAGCUUAUUAGUACGAAAGGAUUGUAAGUUGUUUUUUUU